This 253-nucleotide ribosomal RNA is filed under the name uncultured bacterium. RNAcentral's name for it is "partial 16S ribosomal RNA". It matches the Rfam family "Bacterial small subunit ribosomal RNA", at positions 524 to 776 of the family's 1533-position model. The record is from RNAcentral.
UACGUAGGGUGCAAGCGUUAAUCGGAAUUACUGGGCGUAAAGCGUGCGCAGGCGGUUCGCUAAGACCGAUGUGAAAUCCCCGGGCUUAACCUGGGAACUGCAUUGGUGACUGGCGGGCUAGAGUAUGGCAGAGGGGGGUAGAAUUCCACGUGUAGCAGUGAAAUGCGUAGAGAUGUGGAGGAAUACCGAUGGCGAAGGCAGCCUCCUGGGCCAGCACUGACGCUCAUGCACGAAAGCGUGGGGAGCAAACAGG